Molecule: ribosomal RNA, 1263 nt
Filed under: Triticum aestivum (bread wheat)
Lineage: Eukaryota; Viridiplantae; Streptophyta; Magnoliopsida; Poales; Poaceae
Description: partial small subunit ribosomal RNA
Source: RNAcentral
AUGCAUAUUACAUUCAUUGUAUGGCGCAUCAGCUUCAAUUGGCCCUUGUUGCAGCAUCACGAGAGGUACAUGAAGUGCAUAAUUUUUUUUCAAUAUGCCAAUUUUGUCAUAAAUGUUGUUAGUGCUUCACCUAAACGCAAUGAUGAGUUACUAGCAAAUCAAGCCACCGAAAUUGCACGUGAAAUUGAACUGGGGGAUCUUGAUACGGGAAAAGGGGCAAACCAGAUAGGUUCUUUACAGAGACCAGCAGACACUAGAUGGAGUUCGCACUUCAAGUCAAUUCGGAGCUUGAGGAAGAUGUUUGGUGCCACAAUUACAGUCCUACGAAGUAUAGCGAAUGAUCGUCCGGUGACACAAUAUUCCCGUGGAGAUGCUGGAGGCGCCCUAAGGAUAAUUGUUUCUUUUGAUUUUGUGUUCAUUUUGCACCUCAUGGAGAGGAUUAUGAAAAUCACAGAUGUCUUGUGCCAAACACUCCAGAAGAAAUCUAUGGACAUUUUGAAUGCAUUAGAUACACUCUCUAACACUAAGGUGCUCCUCGCUGAUCUAAGAGAGGAAGGAUGGGAACCUCUCAUAGAGGAGGUUAAGACCUUUUGUGUGAAGCAUGAAGUUGAGAUCCCCGAUAUGAGUCGCAAGUAUGUUGAUGUGACUAAGUCUCGGAAUAAACAUAAUAACAUCACGGUGCUUCACCACUACAAAGCAGAUGUGUUCAAUGUGGCGAUAGAUCAACAACUGGUUGAGCUAAAUGACCGUUUUAGCGUUCAGACAACAGAGCUAAUGACACUCUGUGCAUCCUUGGAUCCAAGGCAUGACUCGUUUGACAUAUCAAAGAUUUGCAUGCUUGUGGACAAAUUCUAUCCAGCGGAUUUUUCUAGUCAAGAGCAGGCUCGUCUGGAGUCACAACUUCCACACUAUCAGUUAGAUGUUUGCAACCAUCCAAAGCUGAAUUCUUCGUCAUCACUGGCUGAUUUGACCGUUGCAUUGCAUAAAACAGGUAAAGCCUCUGUGUAUCCAAUGGUUGAUAGAUUAUUGCGCUUGGUCAUCACUCUCCCGGUGUCAACUGCAACUGCGGAGAAAGCUUUUUCAGCAAUGAAGAUUAUCAAGACACGUCUCCGAAGUAAAAUGGGUGACGAUUUUCUUCGACCUUACAUGGUUGUAUACAUUGGAAAGGAAAUAGCUGCAAAGUUCAAUGUUAAUGAGAUUAUUGAUUUGUUUGAUCGACCGGCUCGGGGGCGUAGAUCUGCAUUCAAACUAGUAGAAAUGUAG